UACAGAGGGUGCUAGCGUUGUUCGGAAUCAUUGGGCGUAAAGGGCGUGUAGGCGGUUUGUUAAGUCAUGUGUGAAAUCCCUCGGCUCAACCGGGGAACGACGCAUGAAACUGGCAAGCUAGAGUACCAAAGAGGGGGGUGGAAUUCCCGGUGUAGCGGUGAAAUGCGUAGAUAUCAGGAAGAACACCCGUGGCGAAGGCGGCUCUCUGGGACGGUACUGACGCUGAGACGCGAAAGCGUGGGGAGCGAACAGG
Molecule: ribosomal RNA, 253 nt
Filed under: uncultured bacterium
Lineage: Bacteria
Description: partial 16S ribosomal RNA
Rfam family: Bacterial small subunit ribosomal RNA
Source: RNAcentral